RNAcentral lists this transfer RNA (75 nucleotides) under Inhella proteolytica. RNAcentral describes it as "Inhella sp. 1Y17 tRNA-Arg". It matches the Rfam family "tRNA". Rfam says of the family: Transfer RNA (tRNA) molecules are approximately 80 nucleotides in length. Their secondary structure includes four short double-helical elements and three loops (D, anti-codon, and T loops). Lineage: Bacteria; Pseudomonadati; Pseudomonadota; Betaproteobacteria; Burkholderiales; Sphaerotilaceae. The record is from RNAcentral.
GCCUCCGAAGCUCAAUGGAUGAGCACCGGGUUCCGAACCCGAAGGCUGCACGUUCGACUCGUGCCGGAGGCGCCA